AUGGCAGGGACGACGGUGAGCAUGGCGAUGAUGAUGCUUGUGGGCGCCAUCAGCAAGGCCGCCUCCGCUGCCGCUGCCGAGAUGAGCCUCCUCAUGGGCGUCCGGAAGGACAUCUGGUUCAUCAAAGAUGAGCUAGAGACCAUGUACGCCUUUCUUUUGGCCACUGAAGCAACAAAGAACAAAAACAUAUUGCUGAAGGUUUGGGCAAAGCAAAUAAGGGACCUGGCCUAUGGUAUUGAAGAUUGUCUUGAUGAAUUUAUGGUGCACGUGAAAAGCCAUAGCUUGUCUUGCCAGCUAUUUAAGAUAAAAGACCGUCAUCGCAUCGCCAACCAAAUUCGCAAUCUAAAAUCAAGAGUUGAAGAGGUGAGCAGUAGGAAUACACAUUAUAACAAGAUCAUGACCGAUGCCUCCAACAGUGUUGACAAGGUGAAUUCUUACAUGGAAGAUAUUCGCAGCCACUCAGCUGGCAACAUUGACGAGGCAGAGCUUGUGGGCUUUGUUAAGCCUAAAGAAGAGUUGAUUAAGAUGAUGGAUGUCAACGCUGGAGAUGGUCUUUCCAAGGUGAUUUGUGUUGUUGGCAUGGGCGGUUUAGGAAAGACUACUCUAGCAAGGAAGUUAUAUGAAAGUAAGGUAAACAUUGUUAGUAAAUUUUCUUGUUGUGCUUGGGUCACUGUCUCAAAAUCGUUUUCUAAGAUAGAGAUGCUCAAGGACAUGAUUAGGCAGCUUUUGGGUUCUGGUUCACUGAAGAAAUGCUUGAAUGAACUUGAAGGAAAGGAAGUGCAAGUAGAUGAUCUAGGCAACUACCUUAGAGAAGAGCUAGUGGAGAAGAGGUAUUUUAUUGUUCUUGAUGACUUGUGGACCAUAGAUGCAUGGAAGGGGAUAACGAAUAUUGCUUUUCCUGUUAGUAACAAUAAAUGUAGCCGGGUAAUAGUAACAACUAGAGAUGUUGGUUUGGCUGAGCAGUGCACUUCUGAAUCACUUAUCUACCACCUUAAACACCUCCAAAUUAGUGAUGCCACAAAUUUGCUACUUAGAAAGAGUAGGAAAACACGGGAAGACAUGAAAAAUGAUAAGAAAAUGAAGAUCGUGGUUACUAAAAUUAUGAAGAAGUGUGGCGGUCUACCACUGGCUAUACUCACUAUAGGAGGCAUUCUUGCCACCAAAAAGCUAACAGAGUCGGAAAGUAUUUACAAGCAGAUCCCCUCGGAACUCGAGAGCAACCCUAGCCUUGAAGCAUUAAGGAGCAUAGUCACUCUGAGUUACAACUAUUUGCCAUCUCAUCUCAAGUCAUGCUUUCUGUAUUUAAGCUUAUUUCCUGAAGAUUUUGAAAUCAAAAGGAGACGUGUGGUAGAGAGAUGGAUAGUAGAGGGGUUUGUUAGAACCAAUGGUGGAGUAAACAUCGAAGAUGUUGGAAUAAGUUACUUUAAUGAGCUAAUCAACCGAAGCAUGAUUCAGCCCUCAAGAGUGAACAUGGAAGGAAUCGUUAAGAGUUGUCGAGUACAUGAUAUCAUGCGUGAUGUCAUGGUCUCAAUUUCUAGAGAUGAAAAUUUUGUGAACAUUGCAAGUGGUAAUGCAGCUAGUCCUGUAGAGCAGAACUUCCGUCAUGUAUCAUACCAUGGUAGCAAGUGCCAAAACAUAGACACAUAUUGGUGCAAUAAUGUUCGCUCGGUGACUGUAUUUGGUGAGAGAUCCAUCGAGCAAUCAUCUCCAGUCUUUUCACAUGACUUAAGAAUGCUUAGAGCCAUGGAUCUAGAGGAUGCACAAUUUAAAAUCACCCAGAAAGAUAUAGAAAUUAUAGGACUGUUGCGGCACUUGAAGUAUGUGAAUAUUCAGUGUGGUAGCAAUUCACAUGUUUGCAAACUUCCAAGAUCUAUUGGUAAGCUACAAUACUUGCAAACUUUGGACAUACGUAACACAUAUAUCACAUCAUUGCCAGCUGAAAUUGGUAAACUCCAAAGUCUGCAUAGCCUCCGUUGUGGAAGAAAGUACUGGCACAAUGAUUCAGAUUCAUAUGUGCCAAUUGGAUGUUUGGUGGACACAUUGUGUCUACCCAUGAUGUUCACACCUUUGGGUAAUCCUGAUCUUCAUGAUUAUUUGAUUGCUGAGCUACGCAUGGUAUACUCUGGUCGUUGGUUCAAGUCUGAGGGUUUGAGGGUGCCCAAAGGAAUUGGUAACUUAAAAGAGUUACACAUAUUGGAGGUUGUGGACAUCAAGAGAACUUGUAGGAGAGCAACUAAAGAGCUAGGGAAGCUUACACAACUACAAAAACUGAGAGUUGUAGCAGAAGGAGCCUCCACGAAAAAAUGUAAGAUACUUUGUGCAGCCAUCGAGGAGCUAUCUUCCCUAUCAUCUCUUGGUGUGGAUGCUGGAUCACUCAAGUGGAUCGAUUCUAUAUCCUGCCCUCCCCCCUUCUUGAGGACCCUGAAGUUGGAUGGACUUCUUGGAGAGGUGCCAGGCUGGUUCAAGCAUCUUAUGAAUUUGGUGAAACUUUACCUUAAAGGGAGCCAUAUGAAGGAAGGAGGUAAAAGCAUGGAGAUAUUGGGGGCACUGCCUAACCUCAUGCUCCUUCAUCAAUAUUCAAAUUCUUAUGGUGGGGAGAAGCUCGUGUUUAAAGUGGGAUCAUUUCCAAAGCUACGGAAGCUUGACGUCUUUCUUCAUUGUAAAUUGACGGAGCUGAGAUUCGAGGAGGGCACCUCGCCCUACCUUGAAAAGAUAGAAAUUGGUGACUGCAUGUUAAGAUCAGGGAUUAUUGGUAUCCAACACCUUCCAAGGCUCAACGAGAUUUCACUUGGAGAUGGUUGUAAAGUGGCCAAACUUGGUUUACUGCAAGGCGAAGUGGAGGCACACCCCAACCAUCCUGUGUUGCGACUGCUCUGGGGAAGGGGUUACCAUGACCUUAGGGUAGUCACCGAUGUCUCCAGUGCUGCUGCACAAGUGAUAGAAGUAGCGACGGGACCAUCAGUUGUUCUUUCCGAGCAGGCAGCAGUAGGAGAGCGCUCCUCACAGGUGCUGACAGGGAGCGAUAGCGAAGACGAUCUGCGCUGA
This 3045-nucleotide ribosomal RNA is filed under the name Triticum aestivum (bread wheat). RNAcentral describes it as "partial small subunit ribosomal RNA". Lineage: Eukaryota; Viridiplantae; Streptophyta; Magnoliopsida; Poales; Poaceae. The record is from RNAcentral.